This 474-nucleotide ribosomal RNA is filed under the name uncultured bacterium. RNAcentral's name for it is "bacterial SSU rRNA". It matches the Rfam family "Bacterial small subunit ribosomal RNA", at positions 335 to 798 of the family's 1533-position model. The record is from RNAcentral.
ACUCCUACGGGAGGCAGCAGUGGGGAAUAUUGCACAAUGGGCGCAAGCCUGAUGCAGCCAUGCCGCGUGUAUGAAGAAGGCCUUCGGGUUGUAAAGUACUUUUCAGCAGUGAGGAAGGUGGGUAUGUUAAUAGCAUAUUCAUUUGACGUUAGCUGCAGAAGAAGCACCGGCUAACUCCGUGCCAGCAGCCGCGGUAAUACGGAGGGUGCGAGCGUUAAUCGGAAUUACUGGGCGUAAAGCGCAUGCAGGUGGUUUGUUAAGUCAGAUGUGAAAGCCCGGGGCUCAACCUCGGAAUUGCAUUUGAAACUGGCAAACUAGAGUACUGUAGAGGGGGUAGAAUUUCAGGUGUAGCGGUGAAAUGCGUAGAGAUCUGAAGGAAUACCGGUAGGCGAAAGGCGGCCCCCUGGACAGAUACUGACACUCAGAUGCGAAAGCGUGGGGAAGCAAACAGGAUUAGAUACCCUGGUAGGCUCU